CUACGGGUCGCUCCAGUGAGGAAUAUUGCACAAUGGGGGGAACCCUGAUGCAGCAACGCCGCGUGGAGGAUGACGCAUUUCGGUGUGUAAACUCCUUUUAUAUGUCAAGAAAAUGACGGUAGCAUAUGAAUAAGCACCGGCUAACUCCGUGCCAGCAGCCGCGGUAAUACGGAGGGUGCAAGCGUUACUCGGAAUCACUGGGCGUAAAGGACGCGUAGGCGGGUUGGAAAGUCAGGUGUGAAAUCCUACAGCUUAACUGUAGAACUGCACUUGAAACUUCUAAUUUAGAGCAUGGGAGGGGGAGAUGGAAUUAGUGGUGUAGGGGUAAAAUCCGUAGAUAUCACUAGGAAUACCUAAAGCGAAGGCGAUCUCCUGGAACAUUACUGACGCUAAGGCGUGAAAGCGUGGGGAGCAAACAGGAUUAGAUACCCCCGUAGUC
Molecule: ribosomal RNA, 439 nt
Filed under: uncultured bacterium
Lineage: Bacteria
Description: partial 16S ribosomal RNA
Rfam family: Bacterial small subunit ribosomal RNA
Source: RNAcentral